Papaver somniferum (opium poppy) is the source of this 350-nucleotide long non-coding RNA. RefSeq lists it as uncharacterized. The transcript has 2 exons. Lineage: Eukaryota; Viridiplantae; Streptophyta; Magnoliopsida; Ranunculales; Papaveraceae. The record is from RefSeq and is a predicted model, not a curated record.
AAAAGAACCAACUAUCUUUCCAAAUCAGUCCACCACGUAUGGACAAGCAUUUGAUGGUUUCUCCAGCAAGAAAGGGAAAACUGGGAAAACCUCUUCUCUACCAGUUGUUGAUGUUGAAGCUGAAGUAAUGGAUGUGGACUGAUACCUUGUAUAAAACCUUUUAUUUGAUUGGUGUCAAGGGAUCCUCAAUAGACUCAUCUAUACAAUAUCAUAAACAUGAUAUUUAGGCAGAAGUUUUGUACUUAUAAUGACAGGCAGAAGUUUUGUACUUAUAAUGACUUGUGUUAGAGAGGGUUGUUGUUGUUGCAUGUAACUUUAUAUUAUGAAAGUGUAUCAUGUAUUCAUCAGUA